UGGCUUUGGUUACCUCCUCUCUCCCCCGCAAGCGGAGACCCGCUAGCCAACUUCCAAGUCAAGUAAUAUUGUGAAUUGUGAAACACACAACUACUCAGCAUACGUUUGAGAAACAUCGACCUCGAGUACACAGUACACAGUACACUACCGCUGCAUAGUUUUCAGCGCAGAUAUUGAGCAAGAGUACUUGAAAGUCUUUAGGAAAGUAACAUAGGUGAAUAAAACAGAAUAAGAACACUGGAGGUUGAUAUUGAGAUUGAGAAACGACUUGAGUAGAAUAGAGUUCGAGCUAACUAACGAAAAUGUAGUUCAAUUAAGAAGAUUGAUUUCUCACGAGUGCUUUUCUGAGUAGAAGCACGUUGUUAUUGAUGUGAAUGUGGACGUUGAUAUUGAUAUUGACGAACACGCGACCUGGUGCAGUAAUAAUUUUCAAUAGAACAAAGUUACAUUCCAUCGGUAGUUGAGCCAACAAUUAAAAAACCGACGGCAUUAAAAAAUCCACAGAGAUAUUAAUUUAGUGACGCAAUCUUCCCAGGAAAUCCUAGAGCCGCCGGAAAACUGAAGCAAUCACGCCACGGAAGUCUAACUGAGACAUUGUUCAUUUUAUAAUUAAUUUUACAGAAAAAGGAUUUUUAUUUACCGGUGGAGCUGCACGGGAGUUGAUCUCGCAGGUAAAUGCUGGUUGUGAGAAGGCGGA
This 697-nucleotide long non-coding RNA is filed under the name Cotesia glomerata. RNAcentral's name for it is "uncharacterized LOC123271983, transcript variant X1". The record is from RNAcentral. Lineage: Eukaryota; Metazoa; Arthropoda; Insecta; Hymenoptera; Braconidae.